UGCUGUAUUCAAAAUCCCGUGAACAAAUUGGCGUGUUCAAUUGGAAAAAAAGCUAGUUGGAUUCAGUCAAGGGAGAUAGUGAUCGGAUAUAAACGACUCACACGGUUGAGGCCGUUAAUUCGAGUUUGAAUUUUCAGAUCGCAAGGCUGUCGAAGUAUUAAAUUACAGGUACGUGCCACGUGGUUGGAAAUUCGACAAGGGUCGAUUUGCAGUUGAUAUCGGGAUCGACUACGAGAGGAAGAGUUAGCGGUUUGAG
Molecule: long non-coding RNA, 256 nt
Filed under: Gossypium barbadense (sea-island cotton)
Lineage: Eukaryota; Viridiplantae; Streptophyta; Magnoliopsida; Malvales; Malvaceae
Description: long non-coding RNA (GBAR_LNC017864)
Source: RNAcentral